This 212-nucleotide ribosomal RNA is filed under the name uncultured bacterium. RNAcentral describes it as "partial 16S ribosomal RNA". It matches the Rfam family "Bacterial small subunit ribosomal RNA", at positions 326 to 535 of the family's 1533-position model. The record is from RNAcentral.
GGGAUCGCCCUUCCUACGGGAGGCAGCAGUAAGGAAUAUCGGUCAAUGGACGCAAGUCUGAACCAGCCAUGCCGCGUGAAGGAUGAAGGUCCUCUGGAUUGUAAACUUCUUUUAUCUGGGACGAAAAAAGGGAAUUCUUUCCCACUUGACGGUACCAGAGGAAUAAGCACCGGCUAACUCCGUGCCAGCAGCCGCGGUAAUAAGGGCGAUCC